GAUGAACGCUGGCGGCGUGCCUAAUACAUGCAUGUAGAACGCUGAAGGAGGAGCUUGCUCUUUCCGGAUGAGUUGCGAACGGGUGAGUAACGCGUAGGUAACCUGCCUGGUAGCGGGGGAUAACUAUUGGAAACGAUAGCUAAUACCGCAUAACAGUAGAUAUUGCAUGAUAUUUGCUUGAAAGGGGCAAUUGCUCCACUACCAGAUGGACCUGCGUUGUAUUAGCUAGUUGGUGAGGUAACGGCUCACCAAGGCGACGAUACAUAGCCGACCUGAGAGGGUGAUCGGCCACACUGGGACUGAGACACAGCCCAGACUCCUACGGGAGGCAGCAGUAGGGAAUCUUCGGCAAUGGACGGAAGUCUGACCGAGCAACGCCGCGUGAGUGAAGAAGGUUUUCGGAUCGUAAAGCUCUGUUGUAAGAGAAGAACGAGUGUGAGAGUGGAAAGUUCACACUGUGACGGUAUCUUACCAGAAAGGGACGGCUAACUACGUG
This 496-nucleotide ribosomal RNA is filed under the name uncultured bacterium. RNAcentral's name for it is "partial 16S ribosomal RNA". It matches the Rfam family "Bacterial small subunit ribosomal RNA", at positions 28 to 507 of the family's 1533-position model. The record is from RNAcentral.